Molecule: non-coding RNA, 422 nt
Organism: Dermatophagoides farinae (American house dust mite)
Lineage: Eukaryota; Metazoa; Arthropoda; Arachnida; Sarcoptiformes; Pyroglyphidae
Source: RefSeq, a predicted model, not a curated record
ACAAUGAUGAUCACACCGAACAACAAAAUCGGAUUGAAAAGACGAAAAGAAAUUUUUUUUUUGUUGUUGUUAUUGACCACAAAAAUGUUAUUGAAUCGCAAUCUUGCAACGUGUUGAAUCAUGAAACUUUUUGCGUGUUUGGAACAGUAAAAAAAAGUUGUUUUGAAUUGAGUAGCAAUUUAGUUGUUGUUUUUUUUUAUUUCAAAUUAUCGUCUUCGUCUUGACCAUCGUUAUCGUAAUAUUGAUGUGUAUGAUGGACUUACACAUGAAGAAGAAGAAGAAGACAGAGAAACAGAUGUAGACAUCAUAUGAAUUCCAAUUCGGAACAAGUUUCGUGAUGUUUUCAAUGAUCAUCAUCAUUAAGCUUUUGACUAUUCGAUCCAAUUUAAAUGAGAAAUAAUAAAUGAACAAUGAACAACUUA